RNAcentral lists this ribosomal RNA (515 nucleotides) under uncultured archaeon. Its description in RNAcentral is "bacterial SSU rRNA". It matches the Rfam family "Archaeal small subunit ribosomal RNA", at positions 345 to 859 of the family's 1478-position model. The record is from RNAcentral.
AACCUCUACACUGCACGACAGUGCGAUAAGGGAAUCCCAAGUGCGUAGGCAUAGAGCCUACGCUUUUGUCCACCGUAGGGAGGUGGACGAAUAAGGGCUGGGCAAGACCGGUGCCAGCCGCCGCGGUAAUACCGGCAGCCCGAGUGAUGGCCGAUCUUAUUGGGCCUAAAGCGUCCGUAGCUGGCCGCACAAGUCCAUCGGAAAAUCCACCCGCUCAACGGGUGGGCGUCCGGUGGAAACUGUGUGGCUUGGGACCGGAAGGCGCGACGGGUACGUCCGGGGUAGGAGUGAAAUCCCGUAAUCCUGGACGGACCGCCGAUGGCGAAAGCACGUCGCGAGAACGGAUCCGACAGUGAGGGACGAAAGCUAGGGUCUCGAACCGGAUUAGAUACCCGGGUAGUCCUAGCCGUAAACAAUGCCUGCUAGGUGUGGCUCCCACUACGAGUGGGUGCUGUGCCGUAGGGAAGCCGCUAAGCAGGCCGCCUGGGAAGUACGUCCGCAAGGAUGAAACUUAA